This is a long non-coding RNA of Etheostoma cragini (Arkansas darter), 368 nucleotides long. RefSeq lists it as uncharacterized. The transcript is spliced from 3 exons. NCBI's taxonomy places the organism in Eukaryota, Metazoa, Chordata, Actinopteri, Perciformes, Percidae. The record is from RefSeq and is a predicted model, not a curated record.
AAAUGAUACGCGAUGAUGUCACAAAUGUUGAAAUGAAUGUAUGACAUCAUCUGGCAACGUUAGCAACUUUUAGAGCUACUACUACCUAGUUUCAUUGGAAAAGAGCUAUCAACACUUUGACGACCAUGUACAAAAAGAUGGACAACCGUCUCAACUUCCUCCCACUGUACAGAGUGAAGCCAAAAUAUCCUGGAUAUGGGUGCCGCCAUCUUAUAAUUUUGGAGCCAGAGUCUGCCCAGUUUGCUGUAUAAAGUGAUCAGGAGGUGGAGCCCCUCUAACAAAGUCCUGCCCACACACCUGCCCGACCAAUCACGAGUCAAUCGCAGCUGUCAAUCAUGACAUUUCAUCUUGCUUUGAUGGCAUCAAGA